Molecule: long non-coding RNA, 1881 nt
Organism: Asterias rubens (European starfish)
Lineage: Eukaryota; Metazoa; Echinodermata; Asteroidea; Forcipulatida; Asteriidae
Exons: 3
Source: RefSeq, a predicted model, not a curated record
UACAAAAGUGAACAAAAGUGAAUUGUCGUCUGCUAAGGAGUAUCAACGUUUCUUCGUCUGUUCCUUGCUCUAUGGUCUCAGAAUCCUUAUGCCUUUUGGUUCUCGUACAAAAAGUUCUUGGAAUGAACACUGGGGACUGUAUGGCUACUCAUAAUCAACCGUUCUCCAUAAAGGAUUAUCAGCUUUUACCUGAAAGUCAACCUCCUAAAUAAUGCUGAACACUCAACAUGAUGACAAGCCUUGGUAUGAAAUAUGAGCCAGCUUGACAGACGAGAGCCUGUGAGAUGCUGCCUCAUCAUGAUCUCAAGUACGUCAUCUUCUCAGCGUCUCAAGCUAAUUCAGUUCAACUUUGUGAUUCAUUCAAUACUAUGUUCAGGUACGUCUCACGUAGUGAGUUUUAGUUAUUGUAAAAAGAUCUGUUUACUUUGACUUUUAAAAAACCCACUCAGACAUCAGUCUUUACUGUUUAAAACUUGAUAAACAAAGCUGUUGUUUAUGUCAAAAGCUAUGAAUUGAGUUCAAAGCAAAGGUGUACUGCGUAAACAGAUCUUUACCAUGUACAGCCCUAUGUGGCUGUUUUUGUUAAGAAGCAAAAAUUUUGCUGAAUAUUGUUGUUUACUUUUUGUAAUUCCUUUGAAUCAUCAGGCCUGAUACUUUGCGGAGACAAAUUAUGCAGCAAUUGCCUCCAUGCACACGGUCUUCGUCAUUGCCUCAGUGCCCAAAAUGCUGUGUCAGUUCUAGUUCAAAUUUCCCUCAUACUCUUGCGUUUUACUGAGGAAAAGCUGCCUUGCCCUUAAAAGCAUCAGGCCUGAAUCAUGGUUUAUGAAAUUCAGAAAUCAUAGGGCUACUAGCUUUGACUAAACACUUUUUAAUGAAUACAAAGCAAUGAAGUAAAAAGUCAUGCAACCUCGUUUAUGCAAAAUUAAACACAGGUCAGACAGAGUCAAAACACGUUUUCAAUACUUAGUUUGGUUUUUAUAUGUGUAAAUUUGAUGUGUUUGUAUGACACAUGAUGAUAUUUAUCUGCAAAACAUUGUACAAACCAAGCAGGGCCUUUAGUUUUAAACAGAGUGCGUAUAUAUGGAAACUUAGAGUGAACAUCUGCAUUUCUAUAAAGUUUUAUGCUUAGUACUGAAAACACAGUAUUGUAUCUUUCCACCAUUUUAUCUUGAAAAGUAGAUUCCACUUAUCCAUGAGAACUCCAAAAUACAGAGUUGUCUAAUUUUGUAUAUUUCUUUGAUGUAUUUAACUUGGAAACUUGGCAAUGCAGAUGGUCUUUCUAAGCUUCCAUACAAGUUUUGGCCACAACUUUUGAUGUCUGGCAUCCUGUCUCUUAUUAAUUAUACAAUAGUAUUCUCAAUGUCGGUACCAGACUAAUUUCUUCACACACUUGUUUGUUUACACUACUGAGCCGAUAAGUUAUUAAGGUUUUAUUUGCAAAAUGGCCCUUUUUAAACAAGCUUAUUUAAUACAACAGCUGUGUAAUUCACAGUUAAGUAGAUCAUACUAUCUGUAACACUUAAAAAUAAGAAGUUUGAAGGUUAGAAGUCAUUACACGAACGUGUGAUCUGUGCAACUCAAUUUUUUUAGCACAACUAUUUGCGCUAAGUGCCGUUUUAGAGUCAUUAUGAGCAAUUAAAUAUUAAAAUCAGACACUUUCCUGUGAAUAAAAUUGUCCCCUGAAUGCAUAUUUCAUGUAGAAUGUUAAUAGGACACUCUGGAGUGUAUUCCGCACUGUUUAAGGAGGUGUUAUGAAGGUUUUAACUGUCAAUUUCAGUCAUUUUCAGUGUUUUUUUAGGGGAAAAAAAUUUGAUUACCAAAAAAAUUAACGAGCAUGCGUUUCGGGCGAUUUUAAGAAAAUGAAAUGAAAAAAAGAAAAAA